AAAUUAAUCAAAAGAGAUGGAGAAGGACAUUUUAUUGUCAUGGAAAUGGAAAAAUCCACCAAGACAGUGUGUCAAUUCUUAACAUCUAUGUCCCAAAUGAAAGGGCACCCAUGUUUGAACCUCACACAAUAAUAGAGACUACAACAUCCCACUCUCACCAAUGGACAGGCAAUCCAGACAAAAACAAAACAGAGAAAUAAUGGAGCUAACAGACGUUAUGAACCAAAUGGACCUAACAGAUAACCACAGAACAUUUCACCCAAACACAAAAGAAUACCUUCUUCACUCAGCACCUUAUGGGAGAGAUUCAAAGCAAGUCUCAACAGACACAGGAAAAUUGAGAUAAUACCUUGUAUCUGAUCUGACCACCAUGGAUUAAAGCUGGACUUCCACAACAGAAACAUCAGAGAGCCUACACACUCAUGGAAACUGAACAGCUCUCUAGGGUCAAAGAAACACAAAAAAAGCAGUGUUAAGAGGAAAA
This 484-nucleotide long non-coding RNA is filed under the name Rattus norvegicus (Norway rat). RNAcentral's name for it is "long non-coding RNA NONRATT015302". Lineage: Eukaryota; Metazoa; Chordata; Mammalia; Rodentia; Muridae. The record is from RNAcentral.